RNAcentral lists this unclassified non-coding RNA (4213 nucleotides) under Hevea brasiliensis (rubber tree). Lineage: Eukaryota; Viridiplantae; Streptophyta; Magnoliopsida; Malpighiales; Euphorbiaceae. The record is from RNAcentral.
GUAACCAUCAAAAGAGAAAGAGAAUAUUAUGAGAGAGAGAGAACCAAAAGCUGAAAAAUCCUGGAACUGAUUUCUACUUCUUUACCACACUACCCAGCUAAUCUAAGAAGGCGACGCCUUCAAAACGAAAAUCACAAUUUCUGUAAUUUUUUUUAAGUGUUUCGAUUUCUGCUUCCAAAUGGAGCAAAUCACUACCACUUUAAGCUUGACGCUUGUGGUAUAAUUUAGAAGAUUUUUUCUUUUUAAUCUCUGCCUUCAAAGAAGUUUUUAAGGUUGUGUUGUCGGGGAUGGGUUGCCGGAGGAUGGUGGCGGGGAACUUGGAUCCGGACAGGAAGAGGAGCGGCGGACUUAGGACGAAGCAGGCGGGAAGAGGAUCGUGUCGGGGAAGUUAGGCCUCUGGCAGAGGAAGUAAGAAGCCGGAAGAACCUGGAGUUGUUUUUGUUUGCAGUUCUUUUUCCUCCGCCGCCGCCGCUGCAAACUGGCUGAUCUUUUUAUUACAUCAUUUCAGUGCAUGUUAGUAGCUGGAGUUUUUAUUGUUGUUGUUUUUUCCUCUACUUGUUUGAUUGAUUUUUUGAAGGCUCAGUCAGUUGAAAGGAGAGCGUGAGAAGAAGUGAUACUGAUAGCUAUGGGUCAUUUGUUGAGAGAAGUUUUGAGGACACUCUGCGGUGUCAAUCAGUGGUGCUAUGCUGUGUUCUGGAAGAUCGGCUGCCAGAAUCCUAAGUUGUUAAUUUGGGAAGAAUGUUACUAUGAAUCUAAGUCAUGUUCUGUUCUUCCAUGUACUUCUGGAAUUGGGAACCCUGAGUUGCCUUUAGGAGACUCUGAAGGAUACUGGGCUUCUGAUUUUCACUCCUCACAGCUCAGGGUUCAAUCUGGAGAAACACUCCAUCUGCUUAUUAACAAAAUGAUGAUGAAUAAUCAGGUUAACGUGGUAGGCCAAGGAAUAGUUGGGCGAGCUGCAUUUACUGGAAAUCAUGAGUGGUUCCGUUCAAACAAGUACCUUGGAGAUACCCAUCCACCAGAGGUUUUAACUGAGAUACAUCACCAGUUCUCAGCUGGCAUGCAGACAGUUGCAGUUAUUCCUGUUUCUUCUAUUGGUGUUGUUCAACUUGGUUCUUCCUUGACUAUAAUGGAGAAUGUGGGAUUUGUGAAUAAUGUGAAGAGUUUGAUCCUGCAACUAGGGUGUGCCCCUGGAGCUCUUCUGUCUGAAAACCUUGUGGCAAAAGAAUCUAUGGAAAGAAUUGGGGUGCCUGUUUCUAUUGGAACGCCUGAUUCUUUUUCUGGUCAUUUGUCUGGAAAUAAGAUGCAUAACUCCACUCUAUUAUUGUCUGGAAUUUGCAAUCAACAAAAUAUCUCAUCCCAAUCUUCAAUAAUUGCUCAACCUUCUCAUUUGCAAAUUAGGCAGAUUCAAGAUAAUCUACAAUCUACUGCUUCAACAUUUCGUGCCCUGAAUCUGACCAGAAGUUCACCUGAAUCUGAUGUUGGCUUCUGUGAACCAAAAAUGACAACUAUUAAGCAAGAUGAUCCAUUAAGAGGCCAACUAGUGAAUGGAGUUGUUGGAGCUGAAGUGAUCCCAUCAAAUCCUGAUGCAUGGCUGAACCAGCAUGUUGCUACACUUAAUUCAAAGUCUCUAUUCAGUCCCCACUCUGUUAUCGCUCAAUCGCAUGCCAAUAGUAGCGUUCUGACAUUGUUGGAACAGCAGGUUUUGUCAGAUCCUAUUCCUCAAAAUCUUAUUGAUAACAACAGAAAUGCAUUAGAUAGCUUUAUCACACCUCAAAUGAGGACAAAUGAAGCCCUAAUUCUUAAUUCUCAUGGAGGUUACAUGACACCUGGGAGAGAUUUACGUAAUGGAGUGAGUAGCAAUACAAGAACCACUUCAAUUCCAUGUUCUCUUUCUAAUCUGCAAAAGUCGGCAGAUAUUAAUCACUCUUCCACACAGAUGGCAGGGGUUGGGAUUCAAAAUGUUAAUUCAUCGAGGGCUGAGGAGGUUCCUUUAUCCCAUCUGGUAGAUCAAUUAAGUGCUAGUGGCAUGCUUUCAGGGAUUUCUCGUCAUAGAAACCAUUCCACAGAUGUGAAGCAUGCUAAAAAUUUAUCAAUUGCAAAGAAAGAAAAAAUGGAUGAUGAUUUGUUUCAAGCACUUAACAUCCCAUCAUCCCAACCAGAUUCUGUUCAUGAUUACCUUAGGCAUGCAAGUGAAAGUCAGAUUAGUGCAAAUAUUGAGUAUGAGGAUCCAUGCGCUCAACCUCCAUUUGGGGAUGACUUAUAUGAUAUUCUAGGUGUGGAUUUUAAAAAUAGAUUGCUCAAUAGCAAGUGGGAUAAUUUGCUUACUGAUGGGCAGUGUGCAAAUUCACAUAUGGGUAAAGAUGCUUCAACUUUUAUGAAUGUGCAAGAAGCCAGUUCUGAUCUUUUCUCAGUUAAUCAAGGAAUAUCUGAUAGUUGUGUUUUCUCUGGCAUGGGUACUGAUCAUCUUUUAGAUGCUGUGGUAUCUAGGGCUUAUUCUGCUGCCAAGCAGAGCUCAGAUGAAAAUGUCUCUUGCAAGACAACAUUAACAAAGAUCAGUAGCUCCUCUGUUCCUAGUGCUUCUCCUACCUAUCGCCUUCUUCACACGUCUGAUCAGGUUCAAAAGGAGUUAUUUGACCUGCCUAAGUCUUUGGAAAAAUCAGGGACCAUAGCAUCCGGCUCUUUCAGAUCUGGAUGUGGCAAGGAUGAUGUUGGAAGUUGUUCUCAAACUUCUUCCAUUUAUGGAUCCCAACUGAGUUCAUGGGUUGGCCCCAAUAUUAGGCGUGAUAAGAGUGUUUCAACUGCAUAUUCCAAGAAAAAUGAUGAAUUGAGCAAACCAAAUCGCAAAAGGCUUAAACCUGGAGAGAACCCCAGGCCCAGGCCAAAAGAUCGUCAGAUGAUCCAAGAUAGGGUGAAAGAGUUGCGGGAAAUUGUACCAAAUGGGGCAAAAUGCAGCAUAGAUGCUUUGCUUGAACGUACCAUCAAACAUAUGCAAUUCUUGCAAAGUGUGACAAAGCAUGCAGACAAGCUAAAACAAACUGGGGAAUCUAAGAUUAUUAACAAGGAAGGUGGACUUCUUUUAAAGGACAGUUUUGAGGGAGGGGCAACUUGGGCAUUUGAAGUUGGGUCUCAAUCUAUGGUCUGCCCUAUUAUAGUUGAGGAUCUGAGCGCACCUCGUCAGAUGCUUGUGGAGAUGCUAUGUGAAGAAAGGGGUUUCUUUCUAGAGAUAGCCGACUUAAUUAGGGGAUUGGGGUUGACAAUCUUGAAGGGCGUGAUGGAAGCUUGGAAUGAUAAGAUCUGGGCACGAUUCACAGUGGAGGCAAACAGGGAUGUGACAAGGAUGGAAGUAUUUAUGUCACUUGUUCGUCUUUUGGAGCAAACAGUGAAGGGUGGUGCAUCAUCGACUGCUGCAUCAGAUAUGAUGGUUCAUCAUGCUUUCCCUCAAGCCACCUCUAUACCUGCAACUGGGAGGCCCAGUAGUUUACAAUGAACUGCCUGCCAAACUGUUCUCUGGUCUGAAUAUGUUAAGAGCAAGCCUGUUUUUGCUUGCCAUGACUAACAUGGAUUCCAGUCUAAGCUCUUAGGUGGUUCUAACUUUUACUAACCUUUUAUCUGUCUCCCAAAAAUUAGAUCAUUUCUGACCUCACAUCUUAGAAAAGGGAGAUUCAUCUGGAUAGUUAAAAGCUCUGCAAGAACACUCGACAUUAUGUUCCAGUUUGAUAAGAUUAUUUGAAUGCAUGGAUGAACUAGCAUCCAGAGAAAAAAAUUAGCAAGUUAGCCAAGGAUUACAUCUCCUGAAAUGGUUCAGUCGUAGAUAUUAAGCUCCUAGAAUGUCUUAUUAGUGUUUACUUGACGGGACUUAUCAUAGGAUGGAGGAGGUUUGCGUUAUAGUAGGGUUUUAUGGUUCACAAAUGUAUAGGGGACAUGGGAAAUGAAAUGAAGGGGUUAUCCUUUUUUCUUUUUUUGGCAAGACAAUAUGCCUUCUCUUUUCCUUUUUCUUUUUUUUUUGCUACAUAUUUUUCCCCUGUUAAGUUUUCCUUAUUUGCAUACUGAAAUGUGUUUUUCCUUGUGAACCCUAUUUAAAUGUGUGGUUUGCAGUCUGGAAGACAUUCUGUGUUGUCAUGAUACUAGUACCUUCUUAAUUAUUGUGUCCUAUUUUAUCUGCUCUAGGCUUUGUUUGGUGUAUAUCAUGUUUGAAUGGGGAUUUUUUUUUUUU